AGAGUUUGAUCCUGGCUCAGGAUGAACGCUAGCGGUAGGCUUAACACAUGCAAGUCGAGGGGCAGCACGGGUAGCAAUACUUGGUGGCGACCGGCGCACGGGUGAGUAACGCGUAUGCAACCUACCUUUUACAGGGGAAUAGCCCAGAGAAAUUUGGAUUAAUGCCCCAUAGUACUAUUGAAUCGCCUGUUUUGAUAGUUAAAGAUUUAUUGGUAAAAGAUGGGCAUGCGUGACAUUAGAUUGUUGAUGAGGUAACGGCUCACCAAGUCUGCGAUGUCUAGGGGUUCUGAGAGGAUGAUCCCCCACACUGGUACUGAGACACGGACCAGACUCCUACGGGAGGCAGCAGUGAGGAAUAUUGGUCAAUGGGCGCAAGCCUGAACCAGCCAUCCCGCGUGAAGGAUGACUGCCCUAUGGGUUGUAAACUUCUUUUCUGUACCAAGAAUAGUAGCUACGAGUAGUUAUUUGACGGUAGUACAAGAAUAAGCAUCGGCUAACUCCGUGCCAGCAGCCGCGGUAAUACGGAGGAUGCGAGCGUUAUCCGGAUUCAUUGGGUUUAAAGGGUGCGUAGGCGGCUUAUUAAGUCAGUGGUGAAAUCCUGCAGCUUAACUGUAGAACUGCCAUUGAUACUGAUAAGCUUGAAUUUAGUUGAGGUAGGCGGAAUGAGUAGUGUAGCGGUGAAAUGCUUAGAGAUUACUCAGAACACCAAUUGCGAAGGCAGCUUACUAAGCUAAAAUUGACGCUGAUGCACGAAAGCGUGGGUAGCGAACAGGAUUAGAUACCCUGGUUGUCCACGCCGUAAACGAUGUUCACUCGCUGUUUUGCGAUAUACCGUAAGCGGCCAAGCGAAAGCAUUAAGUGAACCACCUGGGGAGUACGUCGGCAACGGUGAAACUCAAAGGAAUUGACGGGGGCCCGCACAAGCGGAGGAACAUGUGGUUUAAUUCGAUGAUACGCGAGGAACCUUACCUGGGCUUAAAUGUAGAUUGCAUGACGUGGAAACACGCUUCCCUUCGGGGCUAUCUACAAGGUGCUGCAUGGUUGUCGUCAGCUCGUGCCGUGAGGUGUCGGGUUAAGUCCCAUAACGAGCGCAACCCCUAUCGUUAGUUGCCAUCAGGUUAAGCUGGGGACUCUAACGAGACUGCCACCGUAAGGUGAGAGGAAGGUGGGGAUGACGUCAAAUCAGCACGGCCCUUAUGUCCAGGGCUACACACGUGUUACAAUGGCCGGUACAAAGGGCAGCUACAUCGCGAGAUGAUGCUAAUCUCUAAAGCCGGUCUCAGUUCGGAUCGGAGUCUGCAACUCGACUCCGUGAAGUUGGAUUCGCUAGUAAUCGGAUAUCAGCCAUGAUCCGGUGAAUACGUUCCCGGGCCUUGUACACACCGCCCGUCAAACCAUGGAAGCUGGGGGGACCUGAAGUCUGUUACCGUAAGGAGCGGCCUAGGGUAAAACCGGUGACUGGGGUUAAGUCGUAACAAGGUA
RNAcentral lists this ribosomal RNA (1482 nucleotides) under metagenome. Its description in RNAcentral is "bacterial SSU rRNA". It matches the Rfam family "Bacterial small subunit ribosomal RNA". The record is from RNAcentral.